GCAAGUCGAACGAAGUAGCAAUACUUAGUGGCAGACGGGUGAGUAACAUGUGGGUAUCUGCCCUUUGGCCUGGAAUAACACGAGGAAACUUGUGCUAAUACCGGAUAAGUCUUUACGGAGAAAGCUUUAUGCACCAUUGGAUGAGCCUGCACUUGAUUAGUUUGUUGGUGGGGUAAUGGCUCACCAAGGCGACGAUUCGUAGCUGGUCUGAGAGGACGAUC
Molecule: ribosomal RNA, 221 nt
Filed under: uncultured bacterium
Lineage: Bacteria
Description: partial 16S ribosomal RNA
Rfam family: Bacterial small subunit ribosomal RNA
Source: RNAcentral